GGGUUGUGAGGUUAAGCGACUAAGCGUACACGGUGGAUGCCCUGGCAGUCAGAGGCGAUGAAGGACGUGCUAAUCUGCGAUAAGCGUCGGUAAGGUGAUAUGAACCGUUAUAACCGGCGAUUUCCGAAUGGGGAAACCCAGUGUGUUUCGACACACUAUCAUUAACUGAAUCCAUAGGUUAAUGAGGCGAACCGGGGGAACUGAAACAUCUAAGUACCCCGAGGAAAAGAAAUCAACCGAGAUUCCCCCAGUAGCGGCGAGCGAACGGGGAGCAGCCCAGAGCCUGAAUCAGUGUGUGUGUUAGUGGAAGCGUCUGGAAAGGCGCGCGAUACAGGGUGACAGCCCCGUACACAAAAAUGCACAUGCUGUGAGCUCGAUGAGUAGGGCGGGACACGUGGUAUCCUGUCUGAAUAUGGGGGGACCAUCCUCCAAGGCUAAAUACUCCUGACUGACCGAUAGUGAACCAGUACCGUGAGGGAAAGGCGAAAAGAACCCCGGCGAGGGGAGUGAAAAAGAACCUGAAACCGUGUACGUACAAGCAGUGGGAGCACGCUUCGGCGUGUGACUGCGUACCUUUUGUAUAAUGGGUCAGCGACUUAUAUUCUGUAGCAAGGUUAACCGAAUAGGGGAGCCGAAGGGAAACCGAGUCUUAACUGGGCGUUAAGUUGCAGGGUAUAGACCCGAAACCCGGUGAUCUAGCCAUGGGCAGGUUGAAGGUUGGGUAACACUAACUGGAGGACCGAACCGACUAAUGUUGAAAAAUUAGCGGAUGACUUGUGGCUGGGGGUGAAAGGCCAAUCAAACCGGGAGAUAGCUGGUUCUCCCCGAAAGCUAUUUAGGUAGCGCCUCGUGAAUUCAUCUCCGGGGGUAGAGCACUGUUUCGGCAAGGGGGUCAUCCCGACUUACCAACCCGAUGCAAACUGCGAAUACCGGAGAAUGUUAUCACGGGAGACACACGGCGGGUGCUAACGUCCGUCGUGAAGAGGGAAACAACCCAGACCGCCAGCUAAGGUCCCAAAGUCAUGGUUAAGUGGGAAACGAUGUGGGAAGGCCCAGACAGCCAGGAUGUUGGCUUAGAAGCAGCCAUCAUUUAAAGAAAGCGUAAUAGCUCACUGGUCGAGUCGGCCUGCGCGGAAGAUGUAACGGGGCUAAACCAUGCACCGAAGCUGCGGCAGCGACGCUUAUGCGUUGUUGGGUAGGGGAGCGUUCUGUAAGCCUGUGAAGGUGUGCUGUGAGGCAUGCUGGAGGUAUCAGAAGUGCGAAUGCUGACAUAAGUAACGAUAAAGCGGGUGAAAAGCCCGCUCGCCGGAAGACCAAGGGUUCCUGUCCAACGUUAAUCGGGGCAGGGUGAGUCGACCCCUAAGGCGAGGCCGAAAGGCGUAGUCGAUGGGAAACAGGUUAAUAUUCCUGUACUUGGUGUUACUGCGAAGGGGGGACGGAGAAGGCUAUGUUGGCCGGGCGACGGUUGUCCCGGUUUAAGCGUGUAGGCUGGUUUUCCAGGCAAAUCCGGAAAAUCAAGGCUGAGGCGUGAUGACGAGGCACUACGGUGCUGAAGCAACAAAUGCCCUGCUUCCAGGAAAAGCCUCUAAGCAUCAGGUAACAUCAAAUCGUACCCCAAACCGACACAGGUGGUCAGGUAGAGAAUACCAAGGCGCUUGAGAGAACUCGGGUGAAGGAACUAGGCAAAAUGGUGCCGUAACUUCGGGAGAAGGCACGCUGAUAUGUAGGUGAAGCGACUUGCUCGUGGAGCUGAAAUCAGUCGAAGAUACCAGCUGGCUGCAACUGUUUAUUAAAAACACAGCACUGUGCAAACACGAAAGUGGACGUAUACGGUGUGACGCCUGCCCGGUGCCGGAAGGUUAAUUGAUGGGGUUAGCGGUAACGCGAAGCUCUUGAUCGAAGCCCCGGUAAACGGCGGCCGUAACUAUAACGGUCCUAAGGUAGCGAAAUUCCUUGUCGGGUAAGUUCCGACCUGCACGAAUGGCGUAAUGAUGGCCAGGCUGUCUCCACCCGAGACUCAGUGAAAUUGAACUCGCUGUGAAGAUGCAGUGUACCCGCGGCAAGACGGAAAGACCCCGUGAACCUUUACUAUAGCUUGACACUGAACAUUGAGCCUUGAUGUGUAGGAUAGGUGGGAGGCUUUGAAGUGUGGACGCCAGUCUGCAUGGAGCCGACCUUGAAAUACCACCCUUUAAUGUUUGAUGUUCUAACGUUGACCCGUAAUCCGGGUUGCGGACAGUGUCUGGUGGGUAGUUUGACUGGGGCGGUCUCCUCCUAAAGAGUAACGGAGGAGCACGAAGGUUGGCUAAUCCUGGUCGGACAUCAGGAGGUUAGUGCAAUGGCAUAAGCCAGCUUGACUGCGAGCGUGACGGCGCGAGCAGGUGCGAAAGCAGGUCAUAGUGAUCCGGUGGUUCUGAAUGGAAGGGCCAUCGCUCAACGGAUAAAAGGUACUCCGGGGAUAACAGGCUGAUACCGCCCAAGAGUUCAUAUCGACGGCGGUGUUUGGCACCUCGAUGUCGGCUCAUCACAUCCUGGGGCUGAAGUAGGUCCCAAGGGUAUGGCUGUUCGCCAUUUAAAGUGGUACGCGAGCUGGGUUUAGAACGUCGUGAGACAGUUCGGUCCCUAUCUGCCGUGGGCGCUGGAGAACUGAGGGGGGCUGCUCCUAGUACGAGAGGACCGGAGUGGACGCAUCACUGGUGUUCGGGUUGUCAUGCCAAUGGCACUGCCCGGUAGCUAAAUGCGGAAGAGAUAAGUGCUGAAAGCAUCUAAGCACGAAACUUGCCCCGAGAUGAGUUCUCCCUGACUCCUUGAGAGUCCUGAAGGAACGUUGAAGACGACGACGUUGAUAGGCCGGGUGUGUAAGCGCAGCGAUGCGUUGAGCUAACCGGUACUAAUGAACCGUGAGGCUUAACCUUACAACGCCGAAG
Molecule: ribosomal RNA, 2927 nt
Filed under: Escherichia coli
Lineage: Bacteria; Pseudomonadati; Pseudomonadota; Gammaproteobacteria; Enterobacterales; Enterobacteriaceae
Description: 23S ribosomal RNA
Rfam family: Bacterial large subunit ribosomal RNA
Source: RNAcentral